AGAGUUUGAUCAUGGCUCAGAUUGAACGCUGGCGGCAGGCCUAACACAUGCAAGUCGAACGGUAGCACAGAGAGCUUGCUCUUGGGUGACGAGUGGCGGACGGGUGAGUAAUGUCUGGGAAACUGCCCGAUGGAGGGGGAUAACUACUGGAAACGGUAGCUAAUACCGCAUAACGUCGCAAGACCAAAGUGGGGGACCUUCGGGCCUCACACCAUCGGAUGUGCCCAGAUGGGAUUAGCUAGUAGGUGGGGUAAUGGCUCACCUAGGCGACGAUCCCUAGCUGGUCUGAGAGGAUGACCAGCCACACUGGAACUGAGACACGGUCCAGACUCCUACGGGAGGCAGCAGUGGGGAAUAUUGCACAAUGGGCGCAAGCCUGAUGCAGCCAUGCCGCGUGUAUGAAGAAGGCCUUCGGGUUGUAAAGUACUUUCAGCGAGGAGGAAGGCAUUGUGGUUAAUAACCGCAGUGAUUGACGUUACUCGCAGAAGAAGCACCGGCUAACUCCGUGCCAGCAGCCGCGGUAAUACGGAGGGUGCAAGCGUUAAUCGGAAUUACUGGGCGUAAAGCGCACGCAGGCGGUCUGUCAAGUCGGAUGUGAAAUCCCCGGGCUCAACCUGGGAACUGCAUUCGAAACUGGCAGGCUAGAGUCUUGUAGAGGGGGGUAGAAUUCCAGGUGUAGCGGUGAAAUGCGUAGAGAUCUGGAGGAAUACCGGUGGCGAAGGCGGCCCCCUGGACAAAGACUGACGCUCAGGUGCGAAAGCGUGGGGAGCAAACAGGAUUAGAUACCCUGGUAGUCCACGCCGUAAACGAUGUCGACUUGGAGGUUGUGCCCUUGAGGCGUGGCUUCCGGAGCUAACGCGUUAAGUCGACCGCCUGGGGAGUACGGCCGCAAGGUUAAAACUCAAAUGAAUUGACGGGGGCCCGCACAAGCGGUGGAGCAUGUGGUUUAAUUCGAUGCAACGCGAAGAACCUUACCUACUCUUGACAUCCAGAGAAUUUAGCAGAGAUGCUUUAGUGCCUUCGGGAACUCUGAGACAGGUGCUGCAUGGCUGUCGUCAGCUCGUGUUGUGAAAUGUUGGGUUAAGUCCCGCAACGAGCGCAACCCUUAUCCUUUGUUGCCAGCGGUUCGGCCGGGAACUCAAAGGAGACUGCCAGUGAUAAACUGGAGGAAGGUGGGGGAUGACGUCAAGUCAUCAUGGCCCUUACGAGUAGGGCUACACACGUGCUACAAUGGCAUAUACAAAGAGAAGCGACCUCGCGAGAGCAAGCGGACCUCAUAAAGUAUGUCGUAGUCCGGAUCGGAGUCUGCAACUCGACUCCGUGAAGUCGGAAUCGCUAGUAAUCGUAGAUCAGAAUGCUACGGUGAAUACGUUCCCGGGCCUUGUACACACCGCCCGUCACACCAUGGGAGUGGGUUGCAAAAGAAGUAGGUAGCUUAACCUUCGGGAGGGCGCUUACCACUUUGUGAUUCAUGACUGGGGUGAAGUCGUAACAAGGUAACCGUAGGGGAACCUGCGGUUGGAUCACCU
RNAcentral lists this ribosomal RNA (1529 nucleotides) under Kluyvera intermedia. RNAcentral describes it as "bacterial SSU rRNA". It matches the Rfam family "Bacterial small subunit ribosomal RNA". Lineage: Bacteria; Pseudomonadati; Pseudomonadota; Gammaproteobacteria; Enterobacterales; Enterobacteriaceae. The record is from RNAcentral.